RNAcentral lists this ribosomal RNA (390 nucleotides) under Steatoda castanea. RNAcentral's name for it is "partial 16S ribosomal RNA". It matches the Rfam family "Bacterial large subunit ribosomal RNA", at positions 1809 to 2538 of the family's 2925-position model. The record is from RNAcentral. Lineage: Eukaryota; Metazoa; Arthropoda; Arachnida; Araneae; Theridiidae.
AAAAACAUUUCUUAUUAUAUUUUAUCAUAAGUAAAACCUGCUCAAUGAGAUUUCAAUAGCCGCAGAUCUUCUGUGCUAAGGUAGCAUAAUCAUUUGUUCUUUAAUUAAGAACUAGAAUGAAGGGUUUAACAUUUCAAUUUCUAUUUUAUUAAAAAUUACUUAACUUAUAUUAAAUGUAAAAAUUCAUUUAUAAAAAAAAAAGACGAUAAGACCCUGUCGAACUUAACUUUUGUUUUACUGGGGUAGUAGUUUAAUAAUAAUUUUAAAUAAAUUUUUAUAAAAAUAGAUCCAAUAAAAUUGACUAUUUGAACAAGUUACCGCAGGGAUAACAGCGUUAUUCUUAUUUAUAGAUCUUAUAAAAAUAAGAGAUUACGACCUCGAUGUUGAAUU